Molecule: transfer RNA, 70 nt
Filed under: Bombus terrestris (buff-tailed bumblebee)
Lineage: Eukaryota; Metazoa; Arthropoda; Insecta; Hymenoptera; Apidae
Description: tRNA-Gln
Source: RNAcentral
AAUAUUAAAAAUUAGUUAAUUAAUAAAUUUUGAAUUUAUAAAUAUAUUUAUAAGGAUUAAUAUAUUAUUA